ACUCCUACGGGAGGCAGCAGUGGGGAAUAUUGCACAAUGGGCGCAAGCCUGAUGCAGCGACGCCGCGUGAGGGAUGACGGCCUUCGGGUUGUAAACCCCUUUCGCCCGGGACGAAGCGAGAGUGACGGUACCGGGAGAAGAAGCACCGGCCAACUACGUGCCAGCAGCCGCGGUAAU
RNAcentral lists this ribosomal RNA (177 nucleotides) under uncultured bacterium. RNAcentral describes it as "partial 16S ribosomal RNA". It matches the Rfam family "Bacterial small subunit ribosomal RNA", at positions 335 to 524 of the family's 1533-position model. The record is from RNAcentral.